Molecule: long non-coding RNA, 2054 nt
Organism: Vespa crabro (European hornet)
Lineage: Eukaryota; Metazoa; Arthropoda; Insecta; Hymenoptera; Vespidae
Exons: 2
Source: RefSeq, a predicted model, not a curated record
AUAGAUUCUCUCGCUUAUCGUGUUCCCCUGAAGAAUCGCUAACGUGGAUUUACGUGAAAAAACGAGAGAGUAAGUCUGUGUGCGUGUGUGUCGUGAGAGAUUUCAUCGGUUUAAUUAGGGAAAGAAAAUUUCUCGAUACUUUUUAUUCGCAUACAAUUCGGUGGGAAUAGGUGCGCUAGUGUCGCUGAUGUUUCCACACGGAUACAUUUAUCAUCCUAUAUGCAAUAUCGUAUUUCGCAUAAACACGUAUGUUCCCUUUUAAUUUGCGAUCUUGUCAAAAAAGAUGGUAUAUUCGUUCGAUUAUAAGAAAACCUAUAAUCCUAUAUAUAAUUCGAUAUAUUUUCUUUUUUUCCACUUUAUCGAGUACGAUUAUUUGAGAAACAUUAGUAAGUUACGCGUCGAGAUUCUUUUAUCCUUAUCGAAAGUACAAUGCGUAUAUACGUAUUCAUAUCCCACACGUAUCUUAUCCCACUACGCAGGGAAAAUUCUAGAAUACGAAGUCUCUUCUACAAAUAUUUCUUGUUAUCCGUAGUAAUACGUAAAUGUUGCAUCACUAUACAUACGCUUUUCUAUCGAUUCAAUAAUCGUCGUACGAAGAUAAUUGCGUUCGAUAAUACGUUCGAGCUUUAUUCGCUUCCAUUGGGAAGAUAACAAAAAAUAGAACGUAAUUUUUAUUUCUUUCUCGUUUGAUUUUCUCAUAGAAAUCGUUCAACAUAGAAAUUCGAUAUAGGUAUAGCGUAAAAAUAUUCCAAUGUCGUUUGGAACGAAAAGAAUUAUUAAAAAGAAAGAACACAAAAAUAGAUUGUAUGUAACGCGCUACGAAUUGGAAAAUAUCCGGACGCUACUGCAUCGUUCCUUCUUCCCGCCGAUGGUUUGAAUUUACGCGGCUCUUUGAAUCCAUUCACUUCCGGUGGAACGCAAAUUUUUGUCAAACACGUUCGAGGUUAUAUUAUAAAAUGGAAUUAUAAUAUAACGUUCGUUGAGCCGACAAAAAGAAUUGGCAAACAGUUAUUAUAAUUUUAUCGAACGACAUUAACUCAUUUUAAAUAAUGAUUAUACAUAUAUGUGGGUUUAGUUCAUUGCCAUGUAAUGCUAAGAAAAUACAAUUAAUCUCGAUUAUCAUGCAAAUCAUUCGAAAGGAAGCACCGACGAUGAGAGAAGAUUUACCAAUUAACUUUUCACGCGUGGAAAUAUGCCCAAGAUCCUUAUAGUAUAGAUACACAUGAAAAGUGCGUAAAAGACAUUUGUCAUAUUUCAGCAAUGGCAUGACUAAUCGACACGCGCGAACGAUACUAUAAUAAUAUUAUUAUUUACAUUGAAAGAUCGAGAUAAGAGAGUGUCACAACGCAAUUCCCGUUUUCAAGCCCAAGGCCGAAAUACUUCGAGUCAUAUCUUUAUCCUCGUGUACGGGCUAAAUUACUAUCUUUGAAAAACUCCUGACAACGACGACGAUCGGUAUACAAAGUCCACCACUCUUCUCCAUCUCUCUUCUUCAACUUUAUUUGCGGUAAAUAUGCUCCCUGAGACGAGAAAGGAUAGCGAUUUCCCUCUGCGUCAUAAUCAUAAUUAAAACGGAUUGGUAGAUAAAAGGAGAGGGACGUGUCAGAGAGAGAGAGAGAGAGAGAGAGAGGGGGGGGGGGUGGUGCACGUACACACAGAGAUUGCGUGUAAGGAAUACCGUUAAUCGAUCUGCUUCGAUCGGGGAACAAAGACGGGGAACAUUAACCGUGAAACGAUUAAACACUACGGAAACUGGUUUGACCAAAAUAAACGGACCGUUCGUCUUACAAAUGCUACGAAGGAGAGCUAAUUCAGAAGUAGACGCAAUCGAGCUGGGAAGGAAUUAAACGGCCUCGUUUACUGUGGUGACCUUAUGCAAAAAAAGAAAAAAAGAAAAAAAGAAAAAAAUGGUAAAAGCCACGCAUUCAUCGUUAACGAACGCAUCGGGCGCUCAGGUGUAAACGAACAAAUGACGUGGUCUCCCGAAGUCGCCAGAAAAAAAAGAAAAGAAAGAAAAAGAAAGAAAAAGAAAGUCUCCGGUCGAAUAGCCAUAA